AUUGAACGCUGGCGGCAUGCCUUACACAUGCAAAUCGAACGGUAACGGGCCUUCGGGUGCCGACGAGUGGCGAACGGGUGAGUAAUACAUCGGAACGUGCCCGAUCGUGGGGGAUAACGAGGCGAAAGCUUUGCUAAUACCGCAUACGAUCUACGGAUGAAAGCAGGGGACCGCAAGGCCUUGCGCGGACGGGGCGGCCGAUGGCAGAUUAGGUAGUUGGUGGGAUAAAAGCUUACCAAGCCGACGAUCUGUAGCUGGUCUGAGAGGAUGAUCAGCCACACUGGGACUGAGACACGGCCCAGACUCCUACGGGAGGCAGCAGUGGGGAAUUUUGGACAAUGGGCGCAAGCCUGAUCCAGCCAUGCCGCGUGCAGGAUGAAGGCCUUCGGGUUGUAAACUGAUUUUGUACGGAACGAAAAGCCUUCUUUUAAUACAGGAGGGUCAUGACGGUACCGUAAGAAUAAGCACCGGCUAACUACGUG
RNAcentral lists this ribosomal RNA (482 nucleotides) under uncultured bacterium. RNAcentral's name for it is "partial 16S ribosomal RNA". It matches the Rfam family "Bacterial small subunit ribosomal RNA", at positions 30 to 507 of the family's 1533-position model. The record is from RNAcentral.